RNAcentral lists this ribosomal RNA (253 nucleotides) under uncultured bacterium. RNAcentral's name for it is "partial 16S ribosomal RNA". It matches the Rfam family "Bacterial small subunit ribosomal RNA", at positions 524 to 776 of the family's 1533-position model. The record is from RNAcentral.
UACGUAGGGUGCGAGCGUUAAUCGGAAUUACUGGGCGUAAAGGGUGCGCAGGCGGUUAUAUAAGACAGAUGUGAAAUCCCCGGGCUCAACCUGGGAACUGCGUUUGUGACUGUAUAACUAGAGUACGGUAGAGAGGGGUGGAAUUCCUGGUGUAGCAGUGAAAUGCGUAGAUAUCAGGAGGAACAUCGAUGGCGAAGGCAGCCCCUUGGACCUGUACUGACGCUCAUGCACGAAAGCGUGGGGAGCAAACAGG